Molecule: long non-coding RNA, 1526 nt
Organism: Motacilla alba alba
Lineage: Eukaryota; Metazoa; Chordata; Aves; Passeriformes; Motacillidae
Exons: 3
Source: RefSeq, a predicted model, not a curated record
CAGGCAGGAUCCUGAAAGGAAAGCCAACCUGAAACCUGCAUGGAAAGCAGAGCCAGAGGGAAAAAGCAUCUUUCACUGCAGAAAAGCCUGUCCUUCAUUUAGGGAUGCCAGCAGCUGUCAGAAGAGGAAAGCUGAAGAUUGACAGAGGAAAGACACAGCAGCAGGGCUCCCAGAACAUUGUACAAAAAAGAUAAUCUUAAGAUGUUGACCUCUUAGAGAAGUGUGUACAAUCAAAGAAAAAAAAACAGCAAUAAAAUGUUCUGGUUAUUCCCUAAAUGGAAGAACUGUGUGUGCUGCAAGACCCUGCUGUUCAGCUGUUACUGAAACAUCGUCUUCAAAAACACCAAAUGGGGAAAUGUUGAUUUGUUUUGAUCUCAGGGGAAAUAAUGUAACUCAGAGACAAGCCCACCAGCAGCAACUCUUAAUACACAGCACGACAACACACAGAGAAAUCACCUUGCUCUUGGGCUGCAUACAUGUAUUUAAUUGCAUUUAAUUCUUGAGUGCUGGUGGAACUCAAUCAUAAAUAAUUGGGAGUUUUGGUUCACUGGCUGAACCAGAGGAGACUGGAGGGAAAAAAAAGUCCCUAUAAGCCAUUUGGUUUCAUUUUCAGGUUCAUUAAUCCUCUUUGUUAGGUGGCUUUUUAAGAGGAAUUGUGUGGGUUUUAUUCUGAAAUGGCCAAAAAGGUGGUCGCCCCUCUUCCCCCCAAGCAGGGGCUGGUGGCAGCACCAUCCACCACAUUCUGGUGGUGCUAUGGCAGGACCAUCACACUCAAAGCACUUGCCAUCCAGUGGCUUCCCAAACCAGCAGGAGAGAAGAGGGGAGCAGAGAGGGGACGACGGGUCAACAGGAUCUGGGACCAUAGGGCAGCUUGCUGCAAAAUGAGACUAAUCUUGUUCUAAGGUACAAGGAAACUGUAACAAAUAACAUUAACAGAAGAACUCCGUGGUGCAAGAACAAGAUAACCAACACAAGAAUAAAAAUAUGAACAAGAAAGACAUUGAGGAUGUGCUAGAACAGGUUUAGAGAAGGGCAACAAAGCUGGUGAAGGGUCUGGAGCACAAAUCUUGUGAGGAGAAGCUGAAGGAGGUGAGGGUGUUCAGCCCCUGGAGAAAAGGAUGCCCAGGGGAGAACUUAUCACUCUACAACUGCCUGAAAAUGAAUCUGCCUCUUCUCCCAGGUAACAAGUUAUAGAACAAGAGGAAAUGGCCCCACAUUGUACCAGGGGAGGGUAAGAUUGGGUAUUAGGAAACAUUUCUUCACCAAAAGGGUUUCUAAGCAUGGAACACACUUCCCAGGGGAGCGGUGGAGUCACCAUCCCAGGAGGGAUUUAAAAGACACAGAGAUGUGGAGCUUGGGAACACCAUUUAGUGGUGGGCUUGGCCAUAUUAGGUUAUUAGGCCUUUAUGAUUGUACAGGUCUUUUCCAACCUAAAUGAUUCAUGAUUCUGUGACUAAAACAUGCCUUGAUUUUAAUUAACAGGUUUUUUCAAGUUGUGCAAAAAAAUUUAAAAAUACGUCUUUGAU